CCCUGCCUUUUGUACACACCGCCCGUCGCUCCUACCGAUUGAAUGUGCUGGUGAAGUGUUCGGAUUGGUUUCGAUUGAUGGCAACAUCGGCCGUUACUGAGAAGAACAUUAAACCCUCCCAUUUAGAG
Molecule: ribosomal RNA, 128 nt
Filed under: uncultured eukaryote
Lineage: Eukaryota
Description: partial small subunit ribosomal RNA
Rfam family: Eukaryotic small subunit ribosomal RNA
Source: RNAcentral